This 296-nucleotide ribosomal RNA is filed under the name uncultured bacterium. RNAcentral's name for it is "partial 16S ribosomal RNA". It matches the Rfam family "Bacterial small subunit ribosomal RNA", at positions 28 to 319 of the family's 1533-position model. The record is from RNAcentral.
GACGAACGCUGGCGGCGUGCCUAACACAUGCAAGUGGAGCGACGAACCAGACUUCGGUCUGGGGCAAAGCCGCGAACGGGUGAGUAACACGUGGGUAACCUGCCCUGAUGAUUGGGACAACCCGAGGAAACUCGGGCUAAUACCAAAUGUGCCCCGCAGCCGCAAGGCUGCUGGGGAAAGGAAGCUUCGGCCUCCGCAUCGGGAUGGGCCCGCGGCCCAUUAGCUUGUUGGUGAGGAAUGGCUCACCAAGCGACGAUGGGUAGCUGGUCUGAGAGGACGAUCAGCCACACUGGGAC